This 371-nucleotide transfer-messenger RNA is filed under the name Bacteroidetes bacterium ADurb.Bin012. Its description in RNAcentral is "transfer-messenger RNA, SsrA". It matches the Rfam family "transfer-messenger RNA". From Rfam's summary of the family: Bacterial tmRNA, also known as 10Sa RNA or SsrA, is named for its dual tRNA and mRNA-like properties. Its role is to liberate the mRNA from a stalled ribosome. The record is from RNAcentral. Lineage: Bacteria; Pseudomonadati; Bacteroidota.
GGGGCUGAUUGGUUUUGACAGCAUGACGGUGGAACUGUAAGCAUGCCGGGCGUUAGGGAAAGGCCCGUAUAAAAACUACCCUGAUGCCAAUAAAUGGCAACAAUUAUAACUACGCAAUGGCUGCUUAAUCUAUACGAUUAAGUGCUGUGCUGUCCUCCAGGAAGCUUUGCCUUGCAGCGUUCUGGUAAGGGCAUCGUAAAUGCGGGGCUGCGUGAGGUUUUGUCCCGAAACCUUGCUAAGACAAUAGGGACUCAGGAAUCUGGCGGAUGUGUCCCUGCUUUGCCAGAGUCCGAAUCAUCAACAGGGAAUAAGCAUGUAGAAAGCAGUUGUGCUGCAUGUUUGGACCGGAGUUCGACUCUCCGCAGCUCCAC